UACAGAGGGUGCAAGCGUUGUUCGGAAUUAUUGGGCGUAAAGGGCGCGUAGGCGGUGCGGUAAGUCACCUGUGAAAUCUCCGGGCUUAACUCGGAGCCUGCAGGCGAAACUACCGUGCUGGAGUGUGGGAGAGGUGCGUGGAAUUCCCAGUGUAGAGGUGAAAUUCGUAGAUAUUGGGAAGAACACCAGUGGCGAAGGCGGCUAUCUGGACGGUUAC
RNAcentral lists this ribosomal RNA (217 nucleotides) under uncultured prokaryote. Its description in RNAcentral is "partial 16S ribosomal RNA". It matches the Rfam family "Bacterial small subunit ribosomal RNA", at positions 524 to 740 of the family's 1533-position model. The record is from RNAcentral.